RNAcentral lists this ribosomal RNA (542 nucleotides) under uncultured archaeon. RNAcentral's name for it is "bacterial SSU rRNA". It matches the Rfam family "Archaeal small subunit ribosomal RNA", at positions 457 to 997 of the family's 1478-position model. The record is from RNAcentral.
GCCAGCAGCCGCGGUAACACCGGCGGCCCGAGUGGUGAUCGUGAUUAUUGGGUCUAAAGGGUCCGUAGCCGGUUUGGUCAGUCCUCCGGGAAAUCUGAUAGCUCAACUAUUAGGCUUUCGGGGGAUACUGCCAGACUUGGAACCGGGAGAGGUAAGAGGUACUACAGGGGUAGGAGUGGAAUCUUGUAAUCCCUGUGGGACCACCUGUGGCGAAGGCGUCUUACCAGAACGGGUUCGACGGUGAGGGACGAAAGCUGGGGGCACGAACCGGAUUAGAUACCCGGGUAGUCCCAGCCGUAAACGAUGCUCGCUAGGUGUCAGGCAUGGCGCGACCGUGUCUGGUGCCGCAGGGAAGCCGUGAAGCGAGCCACCUGGGAAGUACGGCCGCAAGGCUGAAACUUAAAGGAAUUGGCGGGGGAGCACAACAACGGGUGGAGCCCUGCGGUUUAAUUGGACUCAACGCCGGACAACUCACCGGGGGCGACAGCAAUAUGUAGGCCAAGCUGAAGACUUUGCCUGAAUCGCUGAGGAGUGGUGCAUGG